GUGGGUAUAGCUCAGUGGUAGACUGCAUAGCUUAUUAGCACGCAUGAGGUCCUGGGUUCAAUCCCCAGUACCUCCU
RNAcentral lists this transfer RNA (76 nucleotides) under Camelus bactrianus (Bactrian camel). It matches the Rfam family "tRNA". From Rfam's summary of the family: Transfer RNA (tRNA) molecules are approximately 80 nucleotides in length. Their secondary structure includes four short double-helical elements and three loops (D, anti-codon, and T loops). Further hydrogen bonds mediate the characteristic L-shaped molecular structure. tRNAs have two regions of fundamental functional importance: the anti-codon, which is responsible for specific mRNA codon recognition, and the 3' end, to which the tRNAs corresponding amino acid is attached (by aminoacyl-tRNA synthetases). tRNAs cope with the degeneracy of the genetic code in two manners: having more than one tRNA (with a specific anti-codon) for a particular amino acid; and 'wobble' base-pairing, i.e. permitting non-standard base-pairing at the 3rd anti-codon position. RNAcentral also lists the same sequence under 2 other names. The record is from Rfam by way of RNAcentral. Lineage: Eukaryota; Metazoa; Chordata; Mammalia; Artiodactyla; Camelidae.